GAAGUCUGCCCAAAGCACGUAGUGUUUGAAGAUUUCGGUCCUAUGCAAUAUGAACCCAUGAACCAUGUCAGGUCCUGACGGAAGCAGCAUUAAGUGGAUCAUCGUAUGUGCCGUAGGGUUGCCGAGAUUUAGCUGUCGACUUUGGUUACGUUUAUGAUACGUAUUCGAAGCGAAGGUGCACGG
This 183-nucleotide signal recognition particle RNA is filed under the name Staphylococcus sp. KY49P. RNAcentral's name for it is "partial signal recognition particle sRNA large type". It matches the Rfam family "Bacterial large signal recognition particle RNA", at positions 85 to 256 of the family's 256-position model. Rfam says of the family: The signal recognition particle (SRP) is a universally conserved ribonucleoprotein involved in the co-translational targeting of proteins to membranes. Archaeal SRP consists of a 7S RNA and homologues of the eukaryotic SRP19 and SRP54 proteins. In most bacteria, the SRP consists of a 4.5S RNA and the Ffh protein (a homologue of the eukaryotic SRP54 protein). The record is from RNAcentral. Lineage: Bacteria; Bacillati; Bacillota; Bacilli; Caryophanales; Staphylococcaceae.